GUAGUUAGCCGGGGCUUCCUCCUUGGCUACCGUCACUUCCUUCGUCACCAAGGACAGAGGUUUACAAUCCGAAAACCUUCUUCCCUCACGCGGCGUUGCUGGGUCAGGGUUCCCCCCAUUGCCCAAUAUUCCCCACUGCUGCCUCCCGUAGGAGUCUGGGCCGUGUCUCAGUCCCAAUGUGGCCGUUCACCCUCUCAGGUCGGCUACCCAUCGCUGACUUGGUGGGCCGUUACCUCACCAACUAUCUAAUGGGACGCGAACUCACCUCAAACUGGAUUACUCCUUUUACCCCUGAGCCAUGCGACUCCGUGGUCUUAUGCGGUAUUAGCAACUGUUUCCAGUUGUUAUCCCCCUGUCUGAGACAGAUUGUUCACGCGUUACUCACCCGUCCGCCACUCGAACAUACCCCGAAGGAUUUGUCCUCGUUCGACUUGCAUGUGUUAAGCACGCCGCCAGCGUUCGUCCUGAGCCAGAAUCAAACUCUGA
Molecule: ribosomal RNA, 486 nt
Filed under: uncultured bacterium
Lineage: Bacteria
Description: partial 16S ribosomal RNA
Source: RNAcentral